RNAcentral lists this ribosomal RNA (492 nucleotides) under Triticum aestivum (bread wheat). RNAcentral describes it as "partial small subunit ribosomal RNA". Lineage: Eukaryota; Viridiplantae; Streptophyta; Magnoliopsida; Poales; Poaceae. The record is from RNAcentral.
AUGGCGGCGCUCCGCUGCGCGGCGAGGAGGAUCGUCGGCGACCAGCCACCGCAGCUGGUAUGCAGGGCGUCUGUGGUGGAGGGGCGACGGCGUAUGUCACCGGCGGUCAUCGACCGCGGUUCGUCCGCCCGUCCUCGCUGCUUCUCCUCGCAGGGUGGCGAUGAUGAUCCGCUUACAUCUGAAGAGAAGAUGAGACUAUUUAAAAGGGGCGCUCACUUGAUCUUCAGGAUGACAAAAGCCAUCUCCACCGUUGUGGUCUGCGGAAUAGUCAUCAAGUGGUCAGUAACAGAGGUGUUCCGUCCUUACCCGACAAGCGAUUGUGCACGUGCUGUCCGGAAAUGCCGUGAGAUGCUACAGGGUCUACGGGGCAACCCUCCAACAUUGGAGGUUGGUCCUGUGCUGGGUGAUGAGAUGCUGGCGGCGGAGGUGGCAGCGUUCAAGUCCAUGGUGAAGGAUAUGAAGCGAGAAGCAGCGGAGAGACUGGAGGACUGA